Molecule: unclassified non-coding RNA, 301 nt
Filed under: Glomus sp.
Lineage: Eukaryota; Fungi; Glomeromycota; Glomeromycetes; Glomerales; Glomeraceae
Description: partial contains 5.8S ribosomal RNA and internal transcribed spacer 2
Rfam family: 5.8S ribosomal RNA (bases 1-71)
Source: RNAcentral
GUGAAUCAUCGAAUUUUUGAACGCACAUUGCACUUUCUGGUAUUCCGGGGAGUAUGCCUGUUUGAGGAUCAGUUAAAUAAAAGUCGGUGUUGUUUCUACUUUUUGCGAUGAUUCAUCGGAUUUGAGUUGUCUUUACUUUUUUUGGUUAAAGUGACUUAAAAUUAUGUACGAUUUUGUGAACGUAUUUAAAUUGUUUACGUAUGUUCAUAAUAUCAAAUAUAUUAGUUGCGAUCAUCCUCAUGAUUUCGCGCCUAUAAUUUUGCAUUAUUUGACUUCAAGUCAUGUAAUAGUUCCCGCUGAA